CUGGGAUUACAGGCAUGAGCCACUGCACCUGGCCUAAAAUAGAAAAGAUAUUUAACUUCUGUGCUUUAUUCCUCCAGAGACUGAUUAAGAUCUUUGAAUGGAAAAUCCACAGAAACAGAUUUUAGUUCAAUGUGUAUCAUUAGUAUAUUAACAUAAUUUCAUUUGCCAUUUUUGGAGUUGUGGCUUUAAACCAGAGAACAACAUAGAUGUAUUUAACUCUAUUAUUUCAUCUGGCCAUCGCUGUAAACCUUCAGGUACGUAUUAUUAUUCUCAUCUUACAGAUGAAGAAACUGAUGUUCAAAGAGUUUCAAGGUCACUUACUGAGCUGAUAAGAGCUCCUGCGUCUUACUACACAAUUAUUAAACUGUUGUACUGUACUCAGUUACUUCAAAUUAAAAUUAGAAUUAGUCAUUUCAAAUUGUAAUUAGGAAUGUUUAAACUUGACUCAAUACAAGCUUUUCAAAAAAAAAGAAAAACACUUGGCAGGCUAAACCACAUUUUCCUGCUGAUAACUAUUUGACCUUCUCUUGGACCCUGGUCCACAUGCAUUUUGAAUGUUUGAUUUGGGGGUUCAAGCCACCUUCCCUGAAAGUCACACUGAAGCUCUUAUUUUAGAAGUGGGAGGUUAUCAUCCACUCAGCCUCCUUAAUGGCUUUUACGUUACAAAAAGCAUGUUUAUAAUUUCAAUGGAAAAAGCAUAUAUAUAAUUUACCGGUGAAAAAAUGCUUUGAGAUGCUGAUUUGGGAUGCUGUCUCACGGCAGAUAGUCGUUACCUGUAUACUACUAACUCAGUUGGAAGAGGAGUAAGCAAAUUGGGGUCUGGAUUACGUGAUACUCUCAGGUCAGUUGCCUGGAACUUCCUAAAUGAUUUAGAUGGAACAUUUUCCUCCUUACGUAAAUCUCUGUGAAGAAGAGACUGGGGGGUACAUUCCAACUCCCCAUAGACGAGUAACUAAAUAACAAGUCUGAACUAACUCAAAUAAUUCCAGUCUUCUCUUACUGCCACCUCUCCCAUCUUGUUUUGUUAAGCAUUCUAGCUUUAUUUUGGCUCUGAAGACUUUGGUAGCCCUAAGAUCAUUGUUUCCAGCCAGAAAGUCCUCUGUGAUCAGGAUCUUUAUAACUAUCAGUGAUUUCUCCCUGUUGAUUAAGUCUACAUAAGUCUCUUUGAACUUGGAUUUGACAUUAGAUUAGCAAGUGAUUUUCAGCUGGGAUAUAAGAUCUAUAAAUUGCUGACAAAAGAAACUACAGUUUGACAGCCUUGUCUAAAUUUAGGUCUUUUCCCCCAACUUUUUGUUGGUGAAUUUCAAUAACCCCUCAUGUGCUAAGUUAGGAUCUGUCAUGGACCUUCAUAUUUUUUACUUGUUUUUCCCUCUCCCUCUUCUCAGCUUUCCCUCUUGACUUUCUUUGGCUGUCUUUUUUCCUUCUUUCCAUAUUCAUUAAAUAACUUUGAGUUAGCCUUUGCAUUGGAUAUAAUGCAAAGGAUAUAUAAAGAUGAAUAAGACAAUUUUUGUCCUUUAAACAAAAUUAAUGAUCUUAAAUUCAUUUACUAAAGAAAUUUCAGGAAGUGCUGUUUCUGUAGAUCUUUGCUUUAAUAAGUGUUAGAUACAACACAUAUACAUAAUGAUUCAAAGUGUUUAGCAAAUACUUUUUCCUAUUCAAAAGUAAUUUGAAUUAACAAGAAAUUUUUCAUCUGUUGGAUGGCCAUUCAUAUUUAUUCUAUUGCCCAUUGUAUGAACUUUUAUAUUUUUGCCAUAUAAUUUGUGUACAUUAUUCUUAGAGAUAUGUAUCCGUCUUAUUUUCAUCAGGAAGCCUAGUGAAUUCUCAUGUCAGGCAUAAUAGCAUUAACGAGAGCUUGAUAGGAUUAAUGAAACUUAUAUAUUUGUGUCUCUAAUGGAGAUUUCCUCCCUUUUAAUGCCCAGAUGUGCCAGGUGGUGCCAGUGCCAGCUAAUCACCUCCCUGUUGGCAGCACCGUGAACACUGUGCACCUGUCUUCAGAUGGCACUUAAAGCAGAGAAGCCUGCUGUGUGGCUGUGGGAGUCAUCAGAGAGGUGGCAGUGGAGGUUUGUUAUCGACCCAAUCAUUACAUCGCUACCCAAGAGUUGGAAACUUCCUGUGUUGCCCACGCUGGUCUCAAACUCCUGGACUCAUGGGAUCCUCCCACCUUGGCCUCCCAAAGCAGUGGUAUUACAGGCAUGAGCCAUUGCACUGGGCUCCUGUUUAGUUUUAAUUUUAAAACACCUCAAGAGUCAGAUAAUUCAGGGAAAGACCAUGCAAGGCUGUUACUGAAGAAAGUGCUACGAGUCUGUUCUAGACAUGGCUUGCCUAGCACUGAGCAUCCUUCCUCACUUCUAAGUGAGAAUUUUCCAGAUCUGUGCAUUGGGGUCCCCCAAGAAAGAGGCUCAGUCCUGAUGUACUGUUUCCUGUAUACUGCAUGCUCACCCCCCAAAACCACAUGGUUAAUCCAGAUCCAGCCCCUGCUUUCUUAGUUAUGAGGCUUCUCAUGGCAAAGCAAUAAAAAGCAAGUUUUCAAUGAUAAAGUCAUGUCUGAAAACAUGUUAAUUGUCAUCAUCUUUGAUGUUGUAACCUGAGCUAUAGAUUGUUGGGAUGCACACGUUACUCUUUUAAGCUUAUGUGCCUUGAUUCUGUCUACAUCAUUUCUUUCUUUCUGAACUGUGAACUGCGCUAAUUUGAUGGGGUUUGCUACCUGAUUGGGGUCCUGACCUUAGCCUUCAUCUUGCCAUAUACAGUUUGUUUUUGUCUCCAUCAGCGUUAGCUCUGUUCAACGCCCUUGUGGAGUCCAGGACUUAGAGAGAGGAUCUCCAAGCAGAAGCCCCCAGCCCACGUGAGAACAGGGAGACCCUUGUGCCCUUAACUGUUUUCCAUAGUACUGCCCAGCCUUGUACACUCUGGCCCAAAUGUUCCUCACCUUUGGAAGACACAGAACUUCUUUCAAAACCAUUGAAAUAUCGAGAUCAUUUCCGCAGAAAGAAAAUGUAAUUUAAGUUGAUUUUGGCAUCUGAGGAGGUGUAUGAUCUCUACAAUAAGAACUGCAAAAACACUGCUCAAAGAAAUCAGAGAUGAUACAAACAGUGAAAAAAUAUCCCAUGCUCAUGGAUAGGAAGAAGCAAUAUUAUUUAAAUGGCCAUGCUACUCAAAGCAAUUUACAGAUUCAGUGCUAUCCCUAUCAAACUACCAAUGACAUUCUUCACGGAAUUAGAAAAAACUAUUUUAAAAUUCAUACAGAACCAUAAAAGCCCAAAUAGCCAAGGCAAUCAAUUCUAAGCAAAAAGAACAAAACUUGGAGGCAUCAAUUUAUGUGACUUGAAACUACACUACAGGGCUACCGUAACCAAAACAGCCUGGUACUGGUACAAAAGCAUACACAUAGACCAACAGAACAGAAUAGAGAGCCUAGAAAUAAUGCCACACACCUGUAAUCAUCUGAUCUUUGACAAAGUUGACAAAAGCAAUGGGGAAAGGACUCCCUAUUCAAUAAAUGGUGCUGGGAUAACUGGGUAGCCACAUGCAAAAGAUUGAAACUGGACCCCUUCCUUACACCAUAUACAAAUAUCAACUCAAGAUGAAUUAAAGAAUUAAAUGUGAAACCUCAAACUAUAAAAAUCCUUCAAUAUAACCUAGGAAUUAGCAUUUUUGACAUAGGCCCCAGCAAAGAUACUUUCUUCUUAAUACCUAGGAAGUGCCCAUUUACAAAAAUAAUGUCCUUCUUUGCUGACUUUGAAAAUAUACUCGGAUAAAACAGAGUAGGUCUUAUUAAUUGCAUAUGUUCACAUUUCAAAAUGUAAGUAGCCUUAUGUAAACCCCUAAAUAGCUAGUGACAUGAAUUUUUCAUUUCUUACAUGUGAAUAAACUUAAGCUGUACAUAGUUAAGAAGGCUUGGAACAAUUCAUAGAGAUUAUGACCUGUGAAGAACUGGCCAUCCAGAUAGGUCCCCACCACAUGCCACUGACCUUAUCUCCACCAUCACUGACUUCUUUUUAUGUUUAGAGGAUCCAGAUGCUCAGUGUCAUCUUCGAAGAUGCCAGGUCACAUUGGCAAAGGCCGCAAGAACUGAUAUGAAAAACCAGAUGCAAUGAAAACCGUAACUGUACAUGAGACAGAACUGCCCAAGGUCAAGCUGGGGCAUUCUGUGUGAAGAGGAAGAUGCCUUGGCAGAAGAUCACUUCAUCAUGACCAGGGCAUCAGAAGAAGGGGUCGCAGAAUUUAUUCAUGAUUCAAUAAGUAUGCACCACCUGUCUGGAAGUGAGUUAGCAUAAAACAUAAGUUCAGUAAGAAUACAAGAAUGAGUGAGUGAAUUAAGAAAUGAAUGGAUUGGGAGUUACCAUUGGCCACACACCGCUUAGACAGUAGAAUAUCUCAGCCAGGUAGAAAGAAUGGAUCAUGGUGGCCCAGCAAAGCAUGUACUUCCUGGGGCAGAUUGUGGCAUCAUUAUCUCCAACAUCUCUGACAAUUUCUGUUUCAAGUUAAGGGCUGGUCAGCUUCUAUUCUUAGAAACACUUUCUUUACACAUGUCAGUAAAUCAAAUCUUGUCUUUAGAGACAAUCCAUCUUGUUAAACUAACUUUGUUUGGGUCUACCCUGACCCUGUUUGUGCCACCCCUGCCCCCAUACAUAUAAUCAGUUUUGUCUGUAGUUAUAAUUUGUCCAUAAUUUGGAAAAGAGAAGCCUAAAAAAGUUCACUCUAGACACUUUCAGCUAGGAACAAACUUAUAUGUGAAAAUAAUUAAAAUGUGGGGAGUGAAGGUUUAUAGUGGAACUAUUUACAGACCCUCAAACACUGCACAACAGUUGAAACUUUGCUGUAGUGACUUCAUUCUCUUAGUUGUCAAUCUGUUUUUCUUCUACAUUUCUUCCACAUACUUCUGGUAUAUUUUUAAUAAAGAUUUUUCAAAAAGAUAAAUAUGGCUUAUAUUUUCCCAGCUCAAAAUUCCCCUGAAGGCCUCCGAAGCAGUAAAUAGUAGUGCUU
This 4983-nucleotide long non-coding RNA is filed under the name Homo sapiens (human). RNAcentral's name for it is "long non-coding RNA NONHSAT176054.1". The record is from RNAcentral. Lineage: Eukaryota; Metazoa; Chordata; Mammalia; Primates; Hominidae.